UCUUAAAGAUAAAUCUAGAAUGACUUGCGUCUUUUGUGGGGGAAUAACGCAUUCGGCCAUUGUGUCAUUCUUCAUUUGACCUUCAGAAAUAUUUCACUAAUCACUAGAUUCUAGAAGAGAAACGUUGCUAAGCUACACACAGUACAUUUGAUCAAUAAAAUAUAAAAAAAAUGGAUACACUUGCAAAGGGAAUUCUCUUUGGGGUCGGAAUAGCCGUCGGACUGGUGACAUUUGCUGUUCAGUGGUGGCAAUUCAGGAAUGUUCCAGAACAGCAUAAUGCACAAGGACGCCGUCCACCGAGAAACUAAUAAAUAAUUUUACGAAAGAUUCUUCUGCUGUAUUAAGAGCAAUAUGUAUACUUAUAUUACUUAAUAAUAAACAGCAGUACCUGGAUGAACGGUUACGGUAACGGUUUUUUGUAAAACGUGUUUUUUUUUAAAUUUUAUUUAAAUACAAAUUACAUACUGAUGAAAUAUGAAUAAUAUUUUUCGAUCCUACGGACAUAAUAAUAAUAUGAACUGGUUAUUUAAAUAAAAAAAUCACGAGUGCGAUCUGAUAAAAAGGGGAAAAAACCGAUCUGGAGACACGAGGAUUUGAAUCUGUCACAGCCUUAUAGACAAUGGUGAAAUUUACCUUGUAUUCUAAAGAAUAUGAUAUUGUAGAAGUUUUUCAUUGCCUAAAAAUACG
Long non-coding RNA from Melitaea cinxia (Glanville fritillary), 687 nucleotides. RefSeq lists it as uncharacterized. The transcript has 3 exons. Lineage: Eukaryota; Metazoa; Arthropoda; Insecta; Lepidoptera; Nymphalidae. The record is from RefSeq and is a predicted model, not a curated record.